Molecule: ribosomal RNA, 2142 nt
Filed under: Salmonella enterica subsp. enterica serovar Enteritidis
Lineage: Bacteria; Pseudomonadati; Pseudomonadota; Gammaproteobacteria; Enterobacterales; Enterobacteriaceae
Description: partial 23S ribosomal RNA
Rfam family: Bacterial large subunit ribosomal RNA
Source: RNAcentral
GUCUUAAUUGGGCGUUAAGUUGCAGGGUAUAGACCCGAAACCCGGUGAUCUAGCCAUGGGCAGGUUGAAGGUUGGGUAACACUAACUGGAGGACCGAACCGACUAAUGUUGAAAAAUUAGCGGAUGACCUGUGGCUGGGGGUGAAAGGCCAAUCAAACCGGGAGAUAGCUGGUUCUCCCCGAAAGCUAUUUAGGUAGCGCCUCGUGAAUUCAUCUCCGGGGGUAGAGCACUGUUUCGGCUAGGGGGCCAUCCCGGCUUACCAACCCGAUGCAAACUGCGAAUACCGGAGAAUGUUAUCACGGGAGACACACGGCGGGUGCUAACGUCCGUCGUGAAGAGGGAAACAACCCAGACCGCCAGCUAAGGUCCCAAAGUCAUGGUUAAGUGGGAAACGAUGUGGGAAGGCCCAGACAGCCAGGAUGUUGGCUUAGAAGCAGCCAUCAUUUAAAGAAAGCGUAAUAGCUCACUGGUCGAGUCGGCCUGCGCGGAAGAUGUAACGGGGCUAAACCACGCACCGAAGCUGCGGCAGCGACGCUUAUGCGUUGUUGGGUAGGGGAGCGUUCUGUAAGCCUGCGAAGGUGGCCUGUGAGGGUUGCUGGAGGUAUCAGAAGUGCGAAUGCUGACAUAAGUAACGAUAAAGCGGGUGAAAAGCCCGCUCGCCGGAAGACCAAGGGUUCCUGUCCAACGUUAAUCGGGGCAGGGUGAGUCGACCCCUAAGGCGAGGCCGAAAGGCGUAGUCGAUGGGAAACGGGUUAAUAUUCCCGUACUUGGUGUUACUGCGAAGGGGGGACGGAGAAGGCUAUGUUGGCCGGGCGACGGUUGUCCCGGUUUAAGCGUGUAGGUGUGUGUUCCAGGUAAAUCCGGUUCACUUUAACACUGAGGCGUGACGACGAGGCACUACGGUGCUGAAGCAACAAAUGCCCUGCUUCCAGGAAAAGCCUCUAAGCAUCAGGUAACAUCAAAUCGUACCCCAAACCGACACAGGUGGUCAGGUAGAGAAUACCAAGGCGCUUGAGAGAACUCGGGUGAAGGAACUAGGCAAAAUGGUGCCGUAACUUCGGGAGAAGGCACGCUGACACGUAGGUGAAGUGAUUUACUCAUGGAGCUGAAGUCAGUCGAAGAUACCAGCUGGCUGCAACUGUUUAUUAAAAACACAGCACUGUGCAAACACGAAAGUGGACGUAUACGGUGUGACGCCUGCCCGGUGCCGGAAGGUUAAUUGAUGGGGUCAGCGCAAGCGAAGCUCCUGAUCGAAGCCCCGGUAAACGGCGGCCGUAACUAUAACGGUCCUAAGGUAGCGAAAUUCCUUGUCGGGUAAGUUCCGACCUGCACGAAUGGCGUAAUGAUGGCCAGGCUGUCUCCACCCGAGACUCAGUGAAAUUGAACUCGCUGUGAAGAUGCAGUGUACCCGCGGCAAGACGGAAAGACCCCGUGAACCUUUACUAUAGCUUGACACUGAACAUUGAGCCUUGAUGUGUAGGAUAGGUGGGAGGCUUUGAAGUGUGGACGCCAGUCUGCAUGGAGCCGACCUUGAAAUACCACCCUUUAAUGUUUGAUGUUCUAACGUGGACCCGUUACCCGGGUUGCGGACAGUGUCUGGUGGGUAGUUUGACUGGGGCGGUCUCCUCCUAAAGAGUAACGGAGGAGCACGAAGGUUGGCUAAUCCUGGUCGGACAUCAGGAGGUUAGUGCAAUGGCAUAAGCCAGCUUGACUGCGAGCGUGACGGCGCGAGCAGGUGCGAAAGCAGGUCAUAGUGAUCCGGUGGUUCUGAAUGGAAGGGCCAUCGCUCAACGGAUAAAAGGUACUCCGGGGAUAACAGGCUGAUACCGCCCAAGAGUUCAUAUCGACGGCGGUGUUUGGCACCUCGAUGUCGGCUCAUCACAUCCUGGGGCUGAAGUAGGUCCCAAGGGUAUGGCUGUUCGCCAUUUAAAGUGGUACGCGAGCUGGGUUUAGAACGUCGUGAGACAGUUCGGUCCCUAUCUGCCGUGGGCGCUGGAGAACUGAGGGGGGCUGCUCCUAGUACGAGAGGACCGGAGUGGACGCAUCACUGGUGUUCGGGUUGUCAUGCCAAUGGCACUGCCCGGUAGCUAAAUGCGGAAGAGAUAAGUGCUGAAAGCAUCUAAGCACGAAACUUGCCCCGAG